This 315-nucleotide ribosomal RNA is filed under the name uncultured eukaryote. Its description in RNAcentral is "partial 18S ribosomal RNA". It matches the Rfam family "Eukaryotic small subunit ribosomal RNA", at positions 1470 to 1796 of the family's 1831-position model. The record is from RNAcentral.
CCCUUAGAUGUCCUGGGCCGCACGCGUGCUACACUGACACUUACACCGAGUUUUUCCGGCCCCGAGAGGUGGCUGGUAAUCAGUAAUAGGUGUCGUGAUGGGGAUAGAUCUUUGGAAUUAUUGAUCUUGAACGAGGAGUGCCUAGUAAUCGUAGGUCAUCAGCCUGCGAUGAUUACGUCCCUGCCCUUUGUACACACCGCCCGUCGCUCCUACCGAUUUCGAGUGGUCCGGUGAACCUUUCGGACAGAGAGAGUCUCGUACAAUCUCUGAAAGUCAAGUAAACCACAUCACUUAGAGGAAGGAGAAGUCGUAACA